AACGCGAAGAACCUUACCAGGUCUUGACAUCGAGUGACGAGUCUAGAGAUAGGCUUUUCCUUCGGGACACGAAGACAGGUGGUGCAUGGUUGUCGUCAGCUCGUGUCGUGAAAUGUUGGGUUAAGUCCCGCAACGAGCGCAACCCUUGCCAUUAGUUGCUACGCAAGAGCACUCUAAUGGGACCGCUACCGACAAGGUGGAGGAAGGUGGGGACGACGUCAAAUCAUCAUGCCCCUUAUGACCUGGGCUACACACGUAAUACAAUGGCCGUCAACAGAGGGAAGCAAUAUCGCGAGAUGGAGCAAACCCCCAAAAACGGUCUCAGUUCGGAUCGCAGGCUGCAACCCGCCUGCGUGAAGUUGGAAUUGCUAGUAAUCGCGGAUCAGCAUGCCGCGGUGAAUACGUUCCCGGGUCUUGUACACACCG
Molecule: ribosomal RNA, 426 nt
Filed under: uncultured rumen bacterium
Lineage: Bacteria
Description: bacterial SSU rRNA
Rfam family: Bacterial small subunit ribosomal RNA
Source: RNAcentral